RNAcentral lists this long non-coding RNA (621 nucleotides) under Bos taurus (domestic cattle). Its description in RNAcentral is "long non-coding RNA NONBTAT017659". Lineage: Eukaryota; Metazoa; Chordata; Mammalia; Artiodactyla; Bovidae. The record is from RNAcentral.
CUCAUUGUAACAAGGAGAACUUAAAUCGUGAUCACUCUAAUUACUGUAAUAUUUGGUAGCAAACAAUCUAUGUACCCUUGCUAAGGUUCCAGUUAAUAGUUUACUCCAUCUUCAGUUUGAAUGUUUGUGUUAAGUGAAGGCGGUACUAGAGGGGAAACUUAACCAAAAUCAGGUAGGGAAAUAAGAGCAAAACUGGGGGUGGGGAGUUUCUUUCCUGGAUUAUGGUGUUUGUAAAAAUUUAGGGAAGUAGUUUUGUGAGAAUACCAGUGACUAUCCUGUCCAUUUUCCCAUUGAAUUUCGUUUUGAGAAUUUUAAACCCUCAAUACUUACGACACGGAAUUUUUCUGGGUUCUCUCUUGAAUGUUUACAAGUAUGUUGAUCCGAUCUUAACCUGUAACUUGGGCAUGUGAUACAGUUACUGUCAUGAAUUUAGAGUAUUAGUCAUGCGUCUGUGGGGAAAUAUGUUCCGGUAAGCUGUUGUGAAACUGAAACUGUAAAAACAGGUGGAAAGGGUUCUUGUACGUUGCUCUGUAUGGUAAGAACCAGUCCUUGUUGCAUCAUGUAUGUGACUACUAACACUUUCUUCCCCUUUACAGCACGAAUAAAGGUUUGCGUUCUGGA